Molecule: ribosomal RNA, 494 nt
Filed under: uncultured bacterium
Lineage: Bacteria
Description: partial 16S ribosomal RNA
Rfam family: Bacterial small subunit ribosomal RNA
Source: RNAcentral
GACGAACGCUGGCGGCGUGCUUAACACAUGCAAGUCGAACGGUGAAGCGCCUUCCUUUUUGGUGGGUGUGGAUGAGUGGCGAACGAGUGAGUAACACGUGAGUAACCUGCCCCCUUCUUCUGGAUAACCGCAUGAAAGUGUGGCUAAUACGGGACAUUCUGGGUCUGUCGCAUGAUGGGUCUGGGAAAGAUAUUGUUUCGGUGGGGGAUGGGCUCGCGGCCUAUCAGCUUGUUGGUGGGGUGAUGGCCUACCAAGGCGGUGACGGGUAGCCGGCCUGAGAGGGUGGACGGUCACACUGGGACUGAGACACGGCCCAGACUCCUACGAGAGGCAGCAGUGGGGAAUAUUGCACAAUGGGCGCAAGCCUGAUGCAGCGACGCCGCGUGAGGGAUGGAGGCCUUCGGGUUGUGAACCUCUUUCGCCAGUGAAGCAGGCCUGCCUCGUUUGUGGGUGGGUUGACGGUAGCUGGAUAAGAAGCGCCGGCUAACUACGUG